The sequence is an unclassified non-coding RNA, 188 nucleotides long. The stretch from base 1 to 46 matches the Rfam family "Eukaryotic small subunit ribosomal RNA", at positions 1786 to 1831 of the family's 1831-position model.
AAGUCGUAACAAGGUUUCCGUAGGUGAACCUGCGGAAGGAUCAUUAACAUGGGGACAUGAGGGGACAAUCCGCUCUUGAGUGGAUAAUUCGCUCAUGAGGGGAGUUGCCUUGUUUUUCACGCUUGUCUUUGUUUGUCAAAAUAGAUGGAACCUUGAGAUAACUUUUAACAAUGGAUCUCUUGGCUCUU